RNAcentral lists this unclassified non-coding RNA (281 nucleotides) under uncultured fungus. RNAcentral describes it as "partial internal transcribed spacer 2". Lineage: Eukaryota; Fungi. The record is from RNAcentral.
CGACACCCACCACACCACUCCAAGUUUGGAGGUGGUCUGUGAGUGAAAGUGGCCAUCCGAAUGGGGCCCACCCGUCUGGGUGGGCAGAUUGGGUUGGCUGAAAUGGAGGGAAUUUGGCCGCCGUGGUGACACAGCCCGCGAUCAGGUGAUCCAGGCUCAACCCCUGGAACUCAAACGUGCGCCGGUUGUGCCACCCAGUUGGUCGGACGGAAUUCCAAAGCAGGUCCUUCUCCCGACGCUGGGCCCCUCACGGGGCCGAGUGGAGGGAGACGUCGUCACGC